Molecule: ribosomal RNA, 253 nt
Filed under: uncultured bacterium
Lineage: Bacteria
Description: partial 16S ribosomal RNA
Rfam family: Bacterial small subunit ribosomal RNA
Source: RNAcentral
UACGGGGGGGGUAAGCGUUGUUCGGAAUUACUGGGCGUAAAGGGCUCGUAGGCGGCCAACUAAGUCAUACGUGAAAUCCCUCAGCUUAACUGGGGAACUGCGUGUGAUACUGGAUGGCUUGGAUUUGGGAGAGGGAUGCGGAAUUCCAGGUGUAGCGGUAAAAUGCGUAGAUAUCUGGAGGAACACCGGUGGCGAAGGCGGCAUCCUGGACCAAUAUUGACGCUGAGGAGCGAAAGCCAGGGGAGCAAACGGG